GUCUCAGUUCAGAUUGCAGGCUGCAACUCGCCUGCAUGAAGUCGGAAUUGCUAGUAAUCGCGGAUCAGCAUGCCGCGGUGAAUACGUUCCCGGGCCUUGUACACACCGCCCGUCACACCAUGGGAGCCGGUAAUACCCGAAGUCAGUAGUCCAACCUCGUGAGGACGCUGCCGAAGGUAGGAUUGGCGACUGGGGUGAAGUCGUAACAAGGUAUC
Molecule: ribosomal RNA, 215 nt
Filed under: uncultured bacterium
Lineage: Bacteria
Description: partial 16S ribosomal RNA
Rfam family: Bacterial small subunit ribosomal RNA
Source: RNAcentral